Molecule: ribosomal RNA, 484 nt
Filed under: uncultured bacterium
Lineage: Bacteria
Description: partial 16S ribosomal RNA
Rfam family: Bacterial small subunit ribosomal RNA
Source: RNAcentral
AUUGAACGCUGGCGGCAUGCUUUACACAUGCAAGUCGAACGGCAGCGCGGGCUUCGGCCUGGCGGCGAGUGGCGAACGGGUGAGUAAUGCAUCGGAACGUGCCCCGUAGUGGGGGAUAGCCCGGCGGAAGCCGGAUUAAUACCGCAUACGACCUGAGGGUGAAAGCGGGGGGCCGAAAGGCCUCGCGCUAUUGGAGCGGCCGAUGUCGGAUUAGCUAGUUGGUGGGGUAAAGGCGUAGCAAGGCGACGAUCCGUAGCUGGUCUGAGAGGACGACCAGCCACACUGGGACUGAGACACGGCCCAGACUCCUACGGGAGGCAGCAGUGGGGAAUUUUGGACAAAGGGGGCAACCCUGAUCCAGCCAUGCCGCGUGCGGGAAGAAGGCCUUCGGGUUGUAAACCGCUUUUGUUCGGGAAGAAAUCCUCUGGGCUAAUACCCCGGGGGGAUGACGGUACCGGAAGAAUAAGCACCGGCUAACUACGUG